Molecule: long non-coding RNA, 637 nt
Organism: Cryptotermes secundus
Lineage: Eukaryota; Metazoa; Arthropoda; Insecta; Blattodea; Kalotermitidae
Exons: 3
Source: RefSeq, a predicted model, not a curated record
CCUUGUUUAAUGAUUAAGGAUAGGCUUGUGUGUCCUCUUGCCUUGUAUAUGUAAUUUGUUAUUAUCUUUUCCAGGUACUCAGUACAACAUGUACGAGUCCAACUUCUACUUGGUCUUAAGAGUUUUGUGAGCAUGAUUUAGCUGGCAUGUUGCCGAAUGGUAAUGUGACGUUUACUGUGGGAGAGAUAAAAAACAUAAUGCACCAGUUACUACAUGGCUUGUGCUACGUUCAUAGUAAUAAGAUCAUGCAUAGAGAUCUGAAGUCGGCCAGUAUACUUCUCACAAAAGCUGGAAUAUUGAAAUUAGCAGACUUUGGUUUGGCGAGGCCAUUUACUGCCAGCCAGUGUAAUCGGUUAUUCAAUGUUUGAUGUGACAUGUUAAGGAUACCUAUGCCUGUGCCCUACUGGUUGAGCUGCUUGUUUUUGAUCCAAGGAAAUGCUGCACAUCACAUAUUGCCAUAAAUCAUGCCUUCUUCUGGACUGACCCAUUGUGAUCUGUCCAAAAUGCUGGCACAGCAUACCAGAAGCUUGCUUCAGUGCACCAUCUCAUAGGCCUGGACACAUGCAACCACACCAGGAUAGAAUAUAUUGAACAGUGUUAUAUUGUGUGUGUGAGUAUAUACAGUGUGUCCCAGGAG